UGAUGAAAGGAAUACCGAUCCAGAUGAUUGUGUCACCUUGGAAAGUCCUGCUAAGAGAGCCAAAACAUCAGACCCCUCAUCACAAUUUGACUUCCUAUCGGACUUCUUCCCUGAAUCACCUAUUAUCAAUCCAACAAACGACGACCUCAUAGAAUUACUUUGCUUGCAACUGGAGAUAAUUGAUCCCCAUUUAUUCGAGUAAGCCACCUUUUCUAGCAAGUUCAUUUUUUUGUGUUCAAAUAAACUAUUAUUUGUUCCAUCGUGCUUGACAAAAUUUGCUCUUCCACAGGAUCGAAUGGGUCAGGAUCUCUAAGCCUUAUCCAAUUAGUUUAACUAUAAGACAAAUAAGGAACAUAUUGUUCACAAAUUAUGUGGACCCAGAUUGCUUCAAUGUGGCUGUGCGUGUACUAGCGAGCCACCCAUCAAACUUAUGUAGAGAUCAGCUGGUUCACUUAAUGGAUCUGAAGUUUUGCAUGAUGUCCAAAUUUGCACGAGACGCGGGUUGUCGUGAAAUGUUAGACGUUGAACAGCUAGCACAAUUGUUUCGUAGCUGGCCUGGCUGCAUCGACGAGUACCAUAUCUCAGAUUGUGACACGAUUUAUUUGCCUUAUGAAAUUUAUGGGCUAUAUAUGUUGUUUGUCUUCAACCUUCAGAAAAAAAUUGUCUAUAUUUUGAAUCCGCUUCCAAUACAAUCUUGGGGGGGAGCAUAUAUUUAAAACUAUGGAAAUAGGUAAAAAUUUAAACCUUGCCCUCAAAGUUGCAAACCCUGGAUGGAACGAUGAUAUAUGUAAAUGGGAAUGCAAAGUUUCUGAUGUUAUUCCGAAAAACUAUCACGGGUACGAAGUUUCUCACUCCAACACAAUCUUAUCUCAUUUGUUUCAACGCACAAUGUAACGUUACAUAUGUUUGCAGUGGUCUGUCUGGAUAUUUGGUUUUCAAUUUCAUGCACUCAUAUCACAAUGAAAGGCUACAUUAUUA
This is a long non-coding RNA of Brachypodium distachyon (stiff brome), 978 nucleotides long. RefSeq lists it as uncharacterized. Lineage: Eukaryota; Viridiplantae; Streptophyta; Magnoliopsida; Poales; Poaceae. The record is from RefSeq and is a predicted model, not a curated record. The transcript has 3 exons.